This is a non-coding RNA of Camellia sinensis, 616 nucleotides long. The record is from RefSeq and is a predicted model, not a curated record. NCBI's taxonomy places the organism in Eukaryota, Viridiplantae, Streptophyta, Magnoliopsida, Ericales, Theaceae.
UUUAAGGAUUAUGUAUAUGUAUACUUAUAUUUAUAUUUUUUCCUUGCAUGCCAUCUAUGUUCUGUACGUAAGUUUGCAAUGCAUACACGGAGUUGAAUGAUCCUGUGGUACAACGCCAACGGUUUGCUGACCAACUCAAGGACCGACAAUCAGGUGAUGAUGAAGCAAUGGCUUUGGAUGAAACAUUUUGCACGGCUCUCGAGUAUGGUUUGCCCCCAACGGUGGUUGGGGACUGGGUAUUGACCGACUAACAAUGAUGAUGACAGAUUCGUAGAACAUCAAGGAAGUUCUACUCUUUCCGGCCAUGAAACCUCAGGAUGAACCUUCUGCUAAAGAACACAUCCAAACAGCUUCUGGCUUGGGUCCAGUAUAGGUUUUCAAUCUGCCAAUAUGCAUGCAAAUCUGCCUACAGAAGUUCUCUAGAUUAGUGGGAUGGAGCAAACCAGCUUCUUAUUUCAGCAAGAUUCAUAGCUUGUCCCUGGUGGUUCUCCUGAUCCAGAAUGUGUGGUGGUAUGCAAGAUUGCUUUUGUUAGCGCCGUCAGAUUGGCAGAUCUAAAGAAGAAUGCUGAUGGACAAGAAAGUCUGGUGUUUGCUACUUUAACUGGUGACCUGGUAG